AGAUGUUAUCGGAACUUAAUUAAGGGAAAGAUAGGCUAAAAGCCCUUAAACAUGAACUGGGAUGUAAAAAUGUUGUGCUUCAAGCAAUAAAAUCAGAG
Long non-coding RNA from Hibiscus syriacus, 98 nucleotides. RefSeq lists it as uncharacterized. The transcript has 3 exons. NCBI's taxonomy places the organism in Eukaryota, Viridiplantae, Streptophyta, Magnoliopsida, Malvales, Malvaceae. The record is from RefSeq and is a predicted model, not a curated record.